CCUACGGGGUGCAGCAGUGGGGAAUAUUGGACAAUGGGCGAAAGCCUGAUCCAGCCAUGCCGCGUGUGUGAAGAAGGCCUUCGGGUUGUAAAGCACUUUCAGUGGGGAAGAAAGCCUUGGGGCUAAUACCCUCGAGGAAGGACAUCACCCACAGAAGAAGCACCGGCUAACUCCGUGCCAGCAGCCGCGGUAAUACGGAGGGUGCGAGCGUUAAUCGGAAUUACUGGGCGUAAAGCGCGCGUAGGCGGUCUGAUAAGCCGGUUGUGAAAGCCCCGGGCUCAACCUGGGAACGGCAUCCGGAACUGUCAGGAUAGAGUGCAGGAGAGGAAGGUAGAAGUCCCGGUGUAGCGGUGAAAUGCGUAGAGAUCGGGAGGAAUACCAGUGGCGAAGGCGGCCUUCUGGACUGACACUGACGCUGAGGUGCGAAAGCGUGGGUAGCAAACAGGAUUAGAUACCCCGGUAGUC
This 465-nucleotide ribosomal RNA is filed under the name Vreelandella stevensii. RNAcentral's name for it is "partial 16S ribosomal RNA". It matches the Rfam family "Bacterial small subunit ribosomal RNA", at positions 338 to 795 of the family's 1533-position model. The record is from RNAcentral. Lineage: Bacteria; Pseudomonadati; Pseudomonadota; Gammaproteobacteria; Oceanospirillales; Halomonadaceae.